UACGUAGGUGGCAAGCGUUGUCCGGAUUUACUGGGUGUAAAGGGCGUGUAGCCGGGUUGACAAGUCAGAUGUGAAAUCCUGCGGCUUAACCGCAGAACUGCAUUUGAAACUGUUGAUCUUGAGUACUGGAGAGGCAGACGGAAUUCCUAGUGUAGCGGUGAAAUGCGUAGAUAUUAGGAGGAACACCAGUGGCGAAGGCGGUCUGCUGGAUAGCAACUGACGGUGAGGCGCGAAAGCGUGGGGAGCAAACAGG
This 253-nucleotide ribosomal RNA is filed under the name uncultured bacterium. RNAcentral describes it as "partial 16S ribosomal RNA". It matches the Rfam family "Bacterial small subunit ribosomal RNA", at positions 524 to 776 of the family's 1533-position model. The record is from RNAcentral.